This is a long non-coding RNA of Neodiprion virginianus, 1095 nucleotides long. RefSeq lists it as uncharacterized. The record is from RefSeq and is a predicted model, not a curated record. NCBI's taxonomy places the organism in Eukaryota, Metazoa, Arthropoda, Insecta, Hymenoptera, Diprionidae. The transcript has 3 exons.
UAAACACGUUUGAUCCAUUCUCAAUUAUCCUCAUCGAUUAGCUUACAUAAUAAUCGCGAACUAGUUACGAGGACGUCUAAAAUCACUCAUCGUUGUGACGUCUCCGAAAUAAAAUCGUCCAACUCGUUCUCACGGAUUCAAUUAUACAGGCCUUGUCCCAAGAGUACGAUCGAACGGAGCAGUUUAAUCGAGUAUAAUGAUAGCACAACUUUCGAAAAAUUAUACUGACGACUGGUUUGGGAAAAAAAUGGUCAAAAUGGUCGGAAAAAAAAGAAACAUAUACAAAACAAACUUAUUUAAAUGAAUAUUAUCAGCUUGUGUAAUCAUCUCAUCGAAACCCCUAGCUAAAUAAAUACUUUCUUUCGUAUGUCAUUAUUGAAAUAUGUAUUCCGAUAGGUCAUUCAAGAUCGCAGAACCAGAUAUAAGACGGUGUUUUUUUGUUUCUUCUUUUCUUCCUAACGAAUAUUAAUUGCCCGUGUGUAUAAUGCAAAGUAUAUAAUUUAUAAGGGUAAAACGGUACGUCAAUCACCAUUAAAUAGAACGGUGAUAAAAAGGGUGAAGAAUAGAGAACAAAUAAGAAAAUUAUGUACAUAAAUCAUUGCAGUCAUCACCAAUGCCUGCUUUACGAUUUAUUAUCAGACGUUCAUUCGUCGCGUAUUAACGUAACCGAUCUGCAAAUGCACAUAAGCGAUCUAUACACGGAGGGAAAGGAUUUAUUUCAGUAAUGUGAUAUUCGUUUGAUUAAACUAAAUGCUAUAGUCAAAUACGGUAAACUACUUUUGUCGGACUUAAUACGUAAAUAAAUCAUGCCUUUGAAUGAUCAUGGGUAUUACGCAUUCCUGACUUGGAUCAGUUAAUCCGAUAGCGAAUUUAAUGCACGUUAGCCGAAUCUGAUUACGAGGCCGACUACCCAGUUUUAUAACAAUCUCUGAAGCUACUUUCAUAGCGAGAAAGCUCACCGCCUAGUGGCCGUUUACAGUACUAGUAUACCGAUACUUACGAUGAAUACAUUCGCUACUUGUUCGAUCACGACAAGAAAGCCAUUUUUGUUGAAUCAAGGAAUUCGCUUGACUAAAUCAUUUUGACAAACUACCU